Molecule: ribosomal RNA, 1854 nt
Filed under: Triticum aestivum (bread wheat)
Lineage: Eukaryota; Viridiplantae; Streptophyta; Magnoliopsida; Poales; Poaceae
Description: partial small subunit ribosomal RNA
Source: RNAcentral
AUGGAGGCAGGAGUGGUGAGCGUGUCGCAUGGCGCCAUUGGCUUCGUGAUUGCGAAGCUUGGUGAUCUGCUCGCUGGCAAGUACAAGCUGCUGAAACAAGCCAAAGGCGAGAUAAUGUUCCUUAAAGCUGAGCUCGAGAGUAUGCGAGCAUUCCUGGAGAGGAUGUCGGAGGCGGAGGAGGAGCCCGACAAGCAAGCCAAGUGCUGGGCAAACGAGGUGCGUGAUCUGUCCUAUGACAUCGAGGACAGCGUCGAUGAGUUCAUGCUCCUGGUGGAAGGUGAGUCCAACGGCGAGCCCCAUGGGUUUAAGGGGUUCAUUCAUAGGAGCAUGAACUUGUUGACGACGAUGAACACUCGGCAAAAGGUCGCCAAGGAGUUCCAAGGCCUCAAGAGCCGUGUCAUGGAGGUGAGCGAGCGACGCAUGAGGUACAAGAUUGAUGAUGCUGUCUCAAAGCCAAACAAUUCAACCAUAGACAUUCGCAUGCUGGCACUCUAUGCGGACACAUCGGGCCUUGUGGGUAUCGAUGGCCUGAGGGAUGAAUUAAUACACCUGAUGGUGGGUGAAGAGGGUGUUUCUGCACAACAGAGGAAGGUCCUCUCUAUAGUGGGAUUUGGAGGGCUCGGUAAGACUACACUUGCGAACCAGAUUUACCACAGGCUAAAGUGGCAGUACGAGUGUCAGGCUUUCGUUUCCGUGUCCCAGAAACCAAACAUACGAAUGAUUCUGAGAAGAAUGCUCUCUCAAGUUGGCUAUGUAGCGCUGGAGGGAACCAACAUGGAAAUAUGGGCAGAGGAUGAACUGAUCAGUGCACUCAGACAAUUCCUUAUGGAUAAGAGGUACUUGAUUGUAAUUGAUGACAUUUGGGAUGAAACUACAUGGAAUGUUAUUAGAUGUGCUCUUCCAAAAAAUUUGGACGGUAGCAUGAUAAUAACAACUACCCGAAAAACUGUGGCUAGAGCUUGCUGCUGCAACCAGCAUGACUAUGUUUAUAAGAUGAAGUCACUAAGCAACGAAGACUCAAGAAAGCUAUUUUUCAACAGAGUAUUUGGUUCAGAGGAAGCCUGCCCUCUGUAUUUGGAAGAAGUUUCAGCUCAGAUUUUAAAAAGGUGUGCUGGCUUGCCUCUUGCAAUUGUGACUAUAUCUAGCCUUUUGGCUAGUGAGCAAAACACAUUGAAGGAGAAUUGGGUGCAUAUAAAGAAUUCAUUGGGCCCCAAUUUCGAGGUGAAUCCAACAUUGGAAGGAAUGAGGCAAAUACUGAGCCUUAGUUACAUAAAUCUUCCUCAUUAUUUGAAGACAUGCAUGCUAUAUUUGGGUAUGUAUCCAGAGGACUAUAUAAUCUGGAAAAAUGAUUUGGUCAGGCAAUGGAUAGCCCAAGGUUUUGUAAGUAAAGUACAUGGGCAAUAUCCAGAGGCUAUUGCAGAGGGCUAUUUUAACGAGCUUGUUAACAGGGGCAUCAUUCAACCAGUUGAUACAGAUCAUAACAAUGAAGUGUUAUCUUGCAAAGUGCAUGAUAUGAUCCUCGACCUUAUUGUACACAAGUGCAGAGAUGAAAAUUUUAUAAUUGCGACACAUGACAUCCAAGCCAUGAUAAGUUUGUCUGGCAAGGUCCGCAGGCUCUCCCUCUAUCUGGAUGGUAUAAUAGAUGGCACCAUAUUGGAGACCGCCCAACUCUCACAAGUAAGAGCACUGGCGAGAUUCGGUACCUCUGCAUAUGCACCUCCUCUCUUGAAGUUCAACCAUCUUCGAGUUUUAACUCUUGAAUUUACAAGUGGAAACCAUGGGUCGGAGAUACCUGACCUCACUGGAAUAUCUCAUUUGUUCCAUCUGAGGUAUCUAAAAAUAAAAGCGGAUGGU